UAAUACGUAGGGUGCGAGCGUUAAUCGGAAUUACUGGGCGUAAAGCGUGCGCAGGCGGUUCUGCAAGUCAGAUGUGAAAUCCCCGGGCUUAACCUGGGAACUGCGUUUGAAACUACGGAGCUAGAGUGCGGCAGAGGGGGGUGGAAUUCCACGUGUAGCAGUGAAAUGCGUAGAUAUGUGGAGGAACACCGAUGGCGAAGGCAGCCCCCUGGGCCGACACUGACGCUCAGGCACGAAAGCGUGGGGAGCAAACAGGAUUAGAUACCCUGGUAGUCCACGCCCUAAACUAUGUCAACUAGUUGUCGGGGAAGCAAUUCCUUGGUAACGAAGCUAACGCGUGAAGUUGACCGCCUGGGGAGUACGGUCGCAAGAUUAAAACUCAAAGGAAUUG
RNAcentral lists this ribosomal RNA (391 nucleotides) under uncultured ammonia-oxidizing bacterium. Its description in RNAcentral is "bacterial SSU rRNA". It matches the Rfam family "Bacterial small subunit ribosomal RNA", at positions 521 to 912 of the family's 1533-position model. The record is from RNAcentral.